Molecule: ribosomal RNA, 477 nt
Filed under: uncultured bacterium
Lineage: Bacteria
Description: bacterial SSU rRNA
Rfam family: Bacterial small subunit ribosomal RNA
Source: RNAcentral
GCAGACCACUCCUACGGGAGGACAGCAGUGGGGAAUAUUGCACAAUGGGCGCAAGCCUGAUGCAGCCAUGCCGCGUGUAUGAAGAAGGCCUUCGGGUUGUAAAGUACUUUCAGCAGUGAGGAAGGUGGGUAUCGUUAAUAGCAUAUUCAUUUGACGUUAGCUGCAGAAGAAGCACCGGCUAACUCCGUGCCAGCAGCCGCGGUAAUACGGAGGGUGCGAGCGUUUAAUCGGAAUUACUGGGCGUAAAGCGCAUGCAGGUGGUUUGUUAAGUCAGAUGUGAAAGCCCGGGGCUCAACCUCGGAAUUGCAUUUGAAAACUGGACAAACUAGAGUACUGUAGAGGGGGUAGAAUUUCAGGUGUAGCGGUGAAAUGCGUAGAGAUCUGAAGGAAUACCGGUGGCGAAGGCGGCCCCCUGGACAGAUACUGACACUCAGAUGCGAAAGCGUGGGGAGCAAACAGGAUUAGAUACCCUGGUAG